AUUGAACGCUGGCGGCAUGCCUUACACAUGCAAGUCGAACGGCAGCACGGGAGCAAUCCUGGUGGCGAGUGGCGAACGGGUGAGUAAUAUAUCGGAACGUGCCCAGUCGUGGGGAUAACGUAGCGAAAGCUACGCUAAUACCGCAUACGAUCUACGGAUGAAAGCGGGGGGAUCGCAAGACCUCGCGCGAUUGGAGCGGCCGAUAUCAGAUUAGGUAGUUGGUGAGGUAAAGGCUCACCAAGCCGACGAUCUGUAGCUGGUCUGAGAGGACGACCAGCCACACUGGGACUGAGACACGGCCCAGACUCCUACGGGAGCAGCAGUGGGGAAUUUUGGACAAUGGGCGCAAGCCUGAUCCAGCAAUGCCGCGUGCAGGAUGAAGGCC
RNAcentral lists this ribosomal RNA (385 nucleotides) under uncultured bacterium. Its description in RNAcentral is "bacterial SSU rRNA". It matches the Rfam family "Bacterial small subunit ribosomal RNA", at positions 30 to 416 of the family's 1533-position model. The record is from RNAcentral.